This 460-nucleotide ribosomal RNA is filed under the name uncultured bacterium. RNAcentral describes it as "partial 16S ribosomal RNA". It matches the Rfam family "Bacterial small subunit ribosomal RNA", at positions 338 to 795 of the family's 1533-position model. The record is from RNAcentral.
CCUACGGGCGGCAGCAGUGAGGAAUCUUGGUCAAUGGCCGCAAGCCUGAACCAGCCAAGUCGCGUGAGGGAAGAAGGUCCUAUGGUUUGUAAACCUCUUUUAUAGGGGAAUAAGUGUGUCCACGUGUGUAUAUAUGCAUGUACCUUAUGAAUAAGCAUCGGCUAACUCCGUGCCAGCAGCCGCGGUAAUACGGAGGAUGCGAGCGUUAUCCGGAUUUAUUGGGUUUAAAGGGUGCGUAGGUUGGUUUUUAAGUCAGUUGUGAAAGUUUGUGGCUCAACCUUAAAAUUGCAGUUGAAACUGGAAGACUUGAGUGUAUAUGAGGUAGGCGGAAUGCGUGGUGUAGCGGUGAAAUGCAUAGAUAUAACGCAGAACUCCGAUUGCGAAGGCAGCUUACUAGGCUGUAACUGACGCUGAAGCACGAAAGCGUGGGUAGCAAACAGGAUUAGAUACCCUUGUAGUC